GCUGGCGGCAGGCUUAACACAUGCAAGUCGAGCGGAAACGAUGGUAGCUUGCUACCAGGCGUCGAGCGGCGGACGGGUGAGUAAUACUUAGGAAUCUACCUAGUAGUGGGGGAUAGCACGGGGAAACUCGUAUUAAUACCGCAUACGACCUACGGGAGAAAGGGGGCAGUUUACUGCUCUCGCUAUUAGAUGAGCCUAAGUCGGAUUAGCUAGAUGGUGGGGUAAAGGCCUACCAUGGCGACGAUCUGUAGCUGGUCUGAGAGGAUGAUCAGCCACACCGGGACUGAGACACGGCCCGGACUCCUACGGGAGGCAGCAGUGGGGAAUAUUGGACAAUGGGGGAAACCCUGAUCCAGCCAUGCCGCGUGUGUGAAGAAGGCCUUUUGGUUGUAAAGCACUUUAAGCAGUGAAGAAGACUCUUCGGUUAAUACCCGGAGACGAUGACAUUAGCUGCAGAAUAAGCACCGGCUAACUCUGUGCCAGCAGCCGCGGUAAUAC
RNAcentral lists this ribosomal RNA (498 nucleotides) under uncultured marine bacterium. Its description in RNAcentral is "bacterial SSU rRNA". It matches the Rfam family "Bacterial small subunit ribosomal RNA", at positions 35 to 526 of the family's 1533-position model. The record is from RNAcentral.